Molecule: non-coding RNA, 2203 nt
Organism: Microcebus murinus (gray mouse lemur)
Lineage: Eukaryota; Metazoa; Chordata; Mammalia; Primates; Cheirogaleidae
Source: RefSeq, a predicted model, not a curated record
AGUGGUUAAGAAAGGGAUUCUCUAUUCUCAAAUAUAGAUAAAAAUCAUAUAUUUAGGAACUAUAAGCACCUGUAAGCUACGAAAAUCAUUGUAACACUAAUGGAAGAAAAGGAUGAGCCUUCAAUAGAACCUCUGCUGUGCUAUGACAUGCCUUUGAAUGACUCAGGAAAGGAUACCCUCUUCUCUGGACAGAGGCGGCUUCUGCAGCCACAUAGGGCUUGGGGAGCAAAGUGAGUGCUGGAUUUGGGGCACCCCUGCCCUCAGCCAGGUGCCUUGUACCAUCAGCCACCAUAACAGCCAAGAUGUUACUGAUUUAACAAAUCCACAUGUAAGGCAGUACUGGUUAGUUCAUACAAGAGUAAUUAUCACAUAAUUAGAUUUUAAAAGAUGUAACCAUUUACAUUAUCACUUUCAAUACAAUCUCAUGUUGAUGUAGCACUCAUCACAGAGAGGACAGUGAGAAUUUCUAUAGAAACAACCGAGGUACACAGAAGUGUUAAGAUAGGUCUGAAAUAUGCUUGGACUUGGGUAUGAAAUAUACAACCUGCCUUGUAAAACUUAGCAUCAGUGUGACAUGAAGCAGCUCAGGGGUGCAGAGAAGGAAAAAAACAGCAGCACUGCAGAGGCUUAGAAAAAUCUUUAUUAAAUUGCUUAGUAAAAAUGUUAAUGGCCAAAAGUCUGUAUGUAUGGUAAGCAGGCAAAAUUAGAUCUGAAAGCAGCUUUUGAUUUAUUGAUCUUUAGGUGCAGCUUUGCUACCAUCCUUUUUAUUUUGGGUCAAAAAAGUAAAGAACCCCCUUCAACCUUUUGUUUUCUGUUGUUUUAGGAGCAUAGCCUAUGGAAUUCAAAAAGUUCCAGUCCUAUAGUUAAUGAAACUCACAAAAUUGUACAUUUUGUGUUCCUUGUGACUUCAGUAUCUGAGUACUGAACUCUCACACUAGAAAUCCAUCUACUCACCAGCUACCAGGGCAUGCCAAGUCACUGAAUGCACAAUCUCAGAAACCAUCCAUCCCCAUAGAAUAUGCAAGUUUUAACUGAUUAAACAGAAUUAUGUCUUGCUAAUUGGGAACUAGAUAGAGAUCACUGUAACUAGUCUUCAGUGUAGCUAUGGUGUCCAGAAACAGAAGAGAUCACUGAGGGGGCGAGGGGCCUAGACCAGCAAUGAACAGCAUCAUAAAGUAAAACACUUGGCUCUUAUGCCCUAACCUACCCACACUGGCUGCUGAUGGCCCACAGUGCCAGGCCCACUUUGGUUUCCCAUGUUUUGGCAGCUUUCUAGUUGCCAGAUUACUGUUGUUCUCAAAAUUUGCCAGGCCCUGGCCUUCUAUAAGAUGAUAAACAGUUAAUCUAGGCAAUGGAUCACUAUUGACAUCUUCAUAACUGUGUACUCAUCAGGACUGUUUUCCAGUAUCUUUGUGCAGAUUUUAGUAGUUUCUGCGACAAUGACCUAAGCCAGUAGAUGACUCCAACCUUCAGACUUCCAGGCUGCGGGGGCGUGUGAUAUCUUCCAAAUUAUACCAGUAGUAAAAUGGGAAAUGGUUAAACAAACAUCCAUCUUCUGAGCAGUGUUAUCCUAAGUCCAAGAAGAAGCCUUGAAAACAGAAGCCCCGUCAAUCACAAACCUUUCUCCUGACCUAUUCUCCUGACAUCCCCAGACCCGGCUACUAAGGAAGAUCCUUUUGGGCGAGGGAAGGAGAGGGUCUGAUCAGGAGCCCUCUCUGCCAGGCAGCUGGUCUCAUCUGGAUGGCAGGAAUGGUGAUCCCGCCCAACAGAGACUGUCUUUGACCAUUACGCUGGAAACGUUCCAGAGAAAAUUUUAACCACAAUAAUGCCCAUUCAUGUGCCAAAUCAAGAUCAAGGUUCUUCUAUAAAAAGUAACUGGUGCGGAAGUGAGAACGGAGAACUCCCACCAACAGGUGAGAAAUUGAGAAAGGGGAGGUGCUGGGCGGUUGCUGCCCUGCGGGGAACAGUUCCCAGGGCAGAUCUAUAGCAGUUCACACACUUUGAACUUUGUCGUCUGAACUGCCAAGGAGGUGGGGAGGAUUUCUUCUUUUAAAAAAAACUAGGCCCAUGUGCAACUCAAAUGUGCCCUCCCCUUCAUAAUGACUACCAUUCUAAAGUGGUUUAUUAUCAUAGUGAGAAAAUAAAUGCUUUUUUUUUUUAAGAAAUGGGGUCUUGUUCUGUUGCCCAGGCUAGAGCACAGUGG